UGUCCUCUAAAUAGGGACCAGUAUGAAUGGCAACAUGAGAGGGAGACUGUCUCUUUAGGCCGGCCAAUGAACCUGAUCUGCCUGUACAAACGCAGGCAUGAAAAAACAAGACAAAAAGACCCUGUGAAACUUUAAAUGUCCAUCAACACACUGAUUAACGCAUUUUUGGUUGGGGCAACCAAGGAGAAACACAAAUCUCACAACCUGUCACACGGCAAACAGGCCAACUGACACCAUCAGCAGACCCAGUAUUACUGACUAAGGAACCAAGCUACUCCAGGGAUAACAGCGCUACAUUCUUGAAGAGUCCAUAUCAACAAGAAUAUCUACGACCUCGAUGUUGGAUUAGGGUAUCCUAAUGGCGCAGAAGCUAUUAAGGGCUCGUUUGUUCAACGAUUAAAA
This 402-nucleotide ribosomal RNA is filed under the name Malayodracon robinsonii (Robinson's forest dragon). RNAcentral describes it as "16S ribosomal RNA". It matches the Rfam family "Bacterial large subunit ribosomal RNA", at positions 1970 to 2593 of the family's 2925-position model. The record is from RNAcentral. Lineage: Eukaryota; Metazoa; Chordata; Lepidosauria; Squamata; Agamidae.